This 377-nucleotide ribosomal RNA is filed under the name uncultured bacterium. RNAcentral's name for it is "bacterial SSU rRNA". It matches the Rfam family "Bacterial small subunit ribosomal RNA", at positions 521 to 896 of the family's 1533-position model. The record is from RNAcentral.
UAAUACAGAGGUGGCAAGCGUUGUUCGGAAUUACUGGGCGUAAAGGGCGCGUAGGCGGCCUGCUAAGUCACACGUGAAAUCCCUCGGCUCAACCGGGGAACUGCGUGUGAUACUGGCGGGCUUGAAUUCGGGAGAGGGAUGUGGAAUUCCAGGUGUAGCGGUGAAAUGCGUAGAUAUCUGGAGGAACACCGGUGGCGAAGGCGGCAUCCUGGACCGAGAUUGACGCUGAGGCGCGAAAGCUAGGGGAGCAAACGGGAUUAGAUACCCCGGUAGUCCUAGCCCUAAACGAUGAGUGCUUGGUGUGGCGGGUAUCGAUCCCUGCCGUGCCGAAGCUAACGCAUUAAGCACUCCGCCUGGGGAGUACGGUCGCAAGGCUG